RNAcentral lists this long non-coding RNA (225 nucleotides) under Capsicum annuum. RNAcentral's name for it is "long non-coding RNA (CANN_LNC004533)". The record is from RNAcentral. Lineage: Eukaryota; Viridiplantae; Streptophyta; Magnoliopsida; Solanales; Solanaceae.
UUUGUGUGACUACUAUGGACAUGGGCGGUGUCGGUAUUGGUGUCAUCCUUGGUAUUGGUAUUGGCAUUGGGGUUGACACCGGUUGGAUGUUUGGUUAGUUAUGGUUAUGAGUUUUUAUUAAUGUCUUUGAUUUAUUAUUGUUCUAUCUUGUUAUAUGUUUGGAAUUCAUAUGGCAUAGGUUGCAGGGUGGUUAUGGUUGGGUAUUGGGGGUGGUCUCCGGUCCCG